AAGUCGUAACAAGGUAACCGUAGGUGAACCUGCGGUUGGAUCAUUACAAAAAUUUGUAUUUGGCGCGUGCGUUACUGCCGCAUCAAAUUCAUAUACCACUUGUGCACUGUUACACGUAUUUGGCAAAUUUUGCUGUUAAAAGCAGUUUGCCAGUUUAUCAAACUUUUGUAUUAUCAGUCUGAUAUAUAAAAAAAUGUAAAUAAAGAAACAA
RNAcentral lists this unclassified non-coding RNA (211 nucleotides) under plant metagenome. RNAcentral describes it as "partial contains small subunit ribosomal RNA and internal transcribed spacer 1". The stretch from base 1 to 46 matches the Rfam family "Eukaryotic small subunit ribosomal RNA", at positions 1786 to 1831 of the family's 1831-position model. The record is from RNAcentral.